RNAcentral lists this ribosomal RNA (883 nucleotides) under uncultured eukaryote. Its description in RNAcentral is "SSU rRNA". It matches the Rfam family "Eukaryotic small subunit ribosomal RNA", at positions 563 to 1467 of the family's 1831-position model. The record is from RNAcentral.
UGUGCCAGCAGCCGCGGUAAUUCCAGCUCCAAUAGCGUAUAUUAAAGUUGUUGCGGUUAAAAAGCUCGUAGUUGGAUCUCGGCGGGCAGGGGGUGGUUCGCUCUUCAGCGCUACUGCCCCGCUUUGCCCGUGUGAUUGGCGGAGGUUUCGGGGUGCUCUUCGUUGAGUGACUCGGAGCGCCGUCAGGUUUACUUUGAAAAAAUUAGAGUGCUCAAAGCAGGCUUUUCACGCUUGAAUAUUCGUGCAUGGAAUAAUGGAAUAGGAACUCGUUUCUAUUUUGUUGGUUUUCGGAAAUCGAGUUAAUGAUUAACAGGGACAAUUGGGGGCAUUAGUAUUCAGACGACAGAGGUGAAAUUCUUGGACCGUCUGAAGACUGACUACUGCGAAAGCAUUUGCCAAGAGUGUUUUCAUUAAUCAAGAACGAAAGUUAGAGGUUCGAAGGCGAUCAGAUACCGCCCUAGUUCUAACCAUAAACGAUGCCAGCUAGCGAUCUGCCGAGUUUUUUUUGUAGGCUCCGCAGGAAGCUUUCGGGAAACCAAAGCUUUUGGGUUCCGGGGGAAGUAUGGUUGCAAAGCUGAAACUUAAAGGAAUUGACGGAAGGGCACCACCAGGAGUGGAGCCUGCGGCUUAAUUUGACUCAACACGGGAAAUCUCACCAGGCCCGGACACUGGAAGGAUUGACAGAUUGAGAGCUCUUUCUCGAUUCGGUGGGUGGUGGUGCAUGGCCGUUCUUAGUUGGUGGAGUGAUUUGUCUGGUUAAUUCCGAUAACGAACGAGACUCUGUCCUGCUAAAUAGUUGGGUCGUCCUUCGUGCGAUCCAAGUUCUUCUUAGAGGGACUGGCUGCGUCUAGCAGCACGAGAUUGAGCAAUAACAGGUCUGUGA